Molecule: non-coding RNA, 583 nt
Organism: Nicotiana tabacum (common tobacco)
Lineage: Eukaryota; Viridiplantae; Streptophyta; Magnoliopsida; Solanales; Solanaceae
Source: RefSeq, a predicted model, not a curated record
CCAACCAAUUUCUACCUAACAUCAAUGAUAUGGUGCCCUUAUCCUAUUUCGAAUUUUCAACUUCUAAUCUCUAAGUUGUUGGUUUGUUGAAAAGGGGAGAAUUCAUACAUACACAAAAACAGAGAGGAGCAACCAUUACAUAAUCUGUGUUGACUCAGUAUAUAUCUCAGAAUUUUCAUCUUCAACAUCAAUUAAAAAGAUUUUGAGAACAUGAAAGGAAGGGAAGGAACAGUUACAACAAUGGAAAGAGGAAAAGAAAUUGAAGGAGAAAGAGAGAAAGGGAAAGCAAUCAAAUUAUCGGUCUUUAAUGGCUAUUGUGGUUGAGGGUUUUGGAUGGUGGUUGUGGGCGGCGUAAUCAAAAUUAAAAGGGAAAUCAACUGAGUUACGAUCAAGCGGACUCAAUAUUGUUGGAGCCAUGGGGAGGCACUGGUGGAUCAGAAUGGAAUUACAUGCUGAAAAGUCCUAUUAAAGAAAUAUUGAUUACUCAUGGAGAUGUUAUAGACUCCAUCAUGUUCAAAACCAUUAUUGAACAAGGUACUACCAUCGACUCACCAAAGUUUGGUGGGGAUGGUGGUCGAAGAGA